RNAcentral lists this transfer RNA (73 nucleotides) under Bacillota bacterium. Its description in RNAcentral is "tRNA-Ala". It matches the Rfam family "tRNA". From Rfam's summary of the family: Transfer RNA (tRNA) molecules are approximately 80 nucleotides in length. Their secondary structure includes four short double-helical elements and three loops (D, anti-codon, and T loops). Lineage: Bacteria; Bacillati; Bacillota. The record is from RNAcentral. RNAcentral also lists the same sequence under 3 other names.
GGGCCGUUAGCUCAGUUGGUAGAGCACCUCUUUUGCAAAGAGGGGGUCGCAGGUUCGAAUCCUGUACGGUCCA